AGUGAACGCUGGCGGCAGGCCUAACACAUGCGAGUCGAACGGCAGCACAAGAGAGCUUGCUCUCUGGGUGGCGAGUGGCGGACGGGUGAGGAAUGCAUCGGAAUCUGCCCAUUUGUGGGGGAUAACCUCGGGAAACCGGGACUAAUACCGCAUACUACCUACGGGUGAAAGCAGGGGAUCUUCGGACCUUGCGCAGAUGGAUGAGCCGAUGCCGGAUUAGCUAGUUGGAGGGGUAAAGGCCCACCAAGGCGACGAUCCGUAGCUGGUCUGAGAGGAUGAUCAGCCACACUGGGACUGAGACACGGCCCAGACUCCUACGGGAGGCAGCAGUGGGGAAUAUUGGACAAUGGGCGCAAGCCUGAUCCAGCCAUGCCGCGUGUGUGAAGAAGGCCUUCGGGUUGUAAAGCACUUUUGUUGGGAAAGAAAAGCAGCCGGUUAAUACCCGGUUGUCAUGACGGUACCCAAAGAAUAAGCACCGGCUAACUUCGUG
RNAcentral lists this ribosomal RNA (490 nucleotides) under uncultured bacterium. RNAcentral's name for it is "partial 16S ribosomal RNA". It matches the Rfam family "Bacterial small subunit ribosomal RNA", at positions 29 to 507 of the family's 1533-position model. The record is from RNAcentral.